GAGUUUGAUCUUGGCUCAGAACGAACGCUGGCGGCAGGCCUAACACAUGCAAGUCGAACGCCCUAGCAAUAGGGAGUGGCAGACGGGUGAGUAACGCGUGGGAAUAUCCCCCUCAGUACGGAAUAGCCCAGGGAAACUUGGAUUAAUACUGGAUAUUAUCUAAGGAUGAAAGAUUUAUCGCUGAAGGAUCGGCCCGCGUAAGAUUAGCUAGUUGGUGAGGUAAUGGCUCACCAAGGCUAUGAUCUUUAGCUGGUCUGAGAGGAUGAUCAGCCACACUGGAACUGAGACACGGUCCAGACUCCUACGGGAGGCAGCAGUGAGGAAUAUUGGACAAUGGGCGCAAGCCUGAUCCAGCCAUGCCGCGUGAGUGAUGAAGGCCUUAGGGUUGUAAAACUCUUUUAGUUGGGAAGAUAAUGACGGUACCAACAGAAAAGCUCCGGCUAACUUCGUGCCAGCCGCCGCCGU
Molecule: ribosomal RNA, 465 nt
Filed under: uncultured Alphaproteobacteria bacterium
Lineage: Bacteria; Pseudomonadati; Pseudomonadota; Alphaproteobacteria
Description: bacterial SSU rRNA
Rfam family: Bacterial small subunit ribosomal RNA
Source: RNAcentral